CCCUUAGAUGUUCUGGGCCGCACGCGCGCUACACUGACGAAUGCAACGAGCUUAUAACCUUGGCCGAAAGGUCUGGGUAAUCUCCAAAUUUCGUCGUGAUGGGGAUAGAUUAUUGCAAUUAUUAAUCUUCAACGAGGAAUGCCUAGUAAGCGCAAGUCAUCAGCUUGCGUUGAUUACGUCCCUACCCUUUGUACACACCGCCCGUCGCUCCUACCGAUUGAAUGGUCCGGUGAAGCGUUCGGACCGUGGCCUUUGGACGGUUCGCCGUCUGUUGGCUGCGGGAAGUUCGUUAAACCUUAUCAUUUAGAGGAAGGAGAAGUCGUANCA
This 327-nucleotide ribosomal RNA is filed under the name uncultured eukaryote. RNAcentral's name for it is "partial 18S ribosomal RNA". It matches the Rfam family "Eukaryotic small subunit ribosomal RNA", at positions 1470 to 1796 of the family's 1831-position model. The record is from RNAcentral.